Molecule: ribosomal RNA, 492 nt
Filed under: uncultured bacterium
Lineage: Bacteria
Description: partial 16S ribosomal RNA
Rfam family: Bacterial small subunit ribosomal RNA
Source: RNAcentral
AGUGAACGCUGGCGGUAGGCCUAACACAUGCAAGUCGAACGGCAGCACAGUAAGAGCUUGCUCUUACGGGUGGCGAGUGGCGGACGGGUGAGGAAUACAUCGGAAUCUACUUUUUCGUGGGGGAUAACGUAGGGAAACUUACGCUAAUACCGCAUACGACCUACGGGUGAAAGCAGGGGAUCUUCGGACCUUGCGCGAUUGAAUGAGCCGAUGUCGGAUUAGCUAGUUGGCGGGGUAAAGGCCCACCAAGGCGACGAUCCGUAGCUGGUCUGAGAGGAUGAUCAGCCACACUGGAACUGAGACACGGUCCAGACUCCUACGGGAGGCAGCAGUGGGGAAUAUUGGACAAUGGGCGCAAGCCUGAUCCAGCCAUACCGCGUGGGUGAAGAAGGCCUUCGGGUUGUAAAGCCCUUUUGUCGGGAAAGAAAAGCAGCAGGUUAAUACCCCGCUGUCCUGACGGUACCCAAAGAAUAAGCACCGGCUAACUUCGUG